CCUACGGGAGGCAGCAGUGGGGAAUAUUGCACAAUGGGGGAAACCCUGAUGCAGCGACGCCGCGUGAGUGAAGAAGUAUUUCGGUAUGUAAAGCUCUAUCAGCAGGGAAGAAAAUGACGGUACCUGAUUAAGAAGCCCCGGCUAACUACGUGCCAGCCGCCGCGGUCAUACGUAGGGGGCAAGCGUUAUCCGGCUUUACUGGGUGUAAAGGGAGCGUAGACGGCAGCACAAGUCUGGAGUGAAAUGCCGGGGCUUAACCCCGGAACUGCUUUGGAAACUGUGCAGCUAGAGUGCAGGAGAGGUAAGUGGAAUGCCUAGUGUAGCGGUGAAAUGCGUAGAUAUUAGGAGGAACACCAGUGGCGAAGGCGGCUUACUGGACUGUAACUGACGUUGAGGCUCGAAAGCGUGGGGAGCAAACAGGAUUAGAUACCCUUGUAGUC
Molecule: ribosomal RNA, 440 nt
Filed under: uncultured bacterium
Lineage: Bacteria
Description: partial 16S ribosomal RNA
Rfam family: Bacterial small subunit ribosomal RNA
Source: RNAcentral